UACGUAGGGUGCGAGCGUUGUCCGGAAUUAUUGGGCGUAAAGGGCUCGUAGGCGGUUUGUCGCGUCGGGAGUGAAAACUCAGGGCUUAACCCUGAGCCUGCUUCCGAUACGGGCAGACUAGAGGUAUGCAGGGGAGAACGGAAUUCCUGGUGUAGCGGUGAAAUGCGCAGAUAUCAGGAGGAACACCGGUGGCGAAGGCGGGUCUCUGGGCCGAUACUGACGCUGAGGAGCGAAAGCGUGGGGAGCAAACAGG
This 253-nucleotide ribosomal RNA is filed under the name uncultured bacterium. RNAcentral's name for it is "partial 16S ribosomal RNA". It matches the Rfam family "Bacterial small subunit ribosomal RNA", at positions 524 to 776 of the family's 1533-position model. The record is from RNAcentral.